This 97-nucleotide Y RNA is filed under the name Castor canadensis (American beaver). Its description in RNAcentral is "Y RNA (ENSCCNG00000002954.1)". It matches the Rfam family "Y RNA". Rfam says of the family: Y RNAs are components of the Ro ribonucleoprotein particle (Ro RNP), in association with Ro60 and La proteins. The Y RNAs and Ro60 and La proteins are well conserved, but the function of the Ro RNP is not known. Lineage: Eukaryota; Metazoa; Chordata; Mammalia; Rodentia; Castoridae. The record is from Rfam by way of RNAcentral.
UACAUGUCUGAGAGCAGUGUGUUACAACUAAUCACAACCAGUUACAGAUUACUUUGUUCCUUCCUCUAUUUCAACUGCUCCACUUGACCAGUCAUAA